GAGCCUUCGAUUGCUCUUCACUUCGCUUGUACUGGAUUGCAGCUGCACUCGCAAGGUGCUUGAGGACCUUGUUCCCUGCUGGACCAUACAAAGAAAAUAAGCUGUGCUAAAAGGUUAUGAUUCCAUUUGGUCAACAAGCCUGAGUAUAUCAGGAAGAAAUUGUUAAAAUGUGACCCAGUUUAAGACAGCUACUGCACAUCCUUGGCUGCCAUCUUCCUUGAUCAACCAUCUUUGACCCCACACUGUUGAACUUAAUGUCUGGUUCUUGUGUAACUAGACCUUCUGUGCUCCUGAUUCAAGAAUAUCUCAAUAACACAGAGAAGAAAUCAAAGCCCUUCUUCAGAUAAUGCUGGGUUGAAUUGCUUCUGGCCGGGGAACACACAUUCCUCAAUCUUUUCCAGCAACUUGUACAUCCCAUGUGCUUACAGGAUGUAAAAGUUUAGUAUUGCCCAUAUGAUACCCAGUAAGUUUUCCUGUCUUUCCUUUUUCAUGAAUUGAACUUGAUUCACAGCCAUUAAAAUUCAUUUGGCAAAAUGUCUCCCCUGGCAGGACUUAGCAGCUCUACCAUUAGUGGAUGGGCUGACCUUCCAUUAGGGGCAGCAAAGUGGAAGAACCAGCAGCUCACAGGUGGUAGCUCCUUUGUGCAGACCCGCGCUUUUGAAGCCUGUUUUACAGACACCCAUAGCCUUGUUCAUAUUCAGAAGAAGAUUAACACAACAAUGGAUGACUUACUAAGGAACCAGCAUCCACACUGUGUCUCUUGUUCUAUACCAAAGGGUAAACAACCACUUUGCUUGUGACGCUGUGUUUCAUUUUGGUGACUCCAUAGAAUUGAAAACCUUUUGCUCUGAUGGCUGAGAAUCAGCUGUAGAAUGGGAAAAGUGCUUAGAGUCACUGGGGAAUGAGGAUAAUCGCCAAAACACAUUUACCGCUCACAUUCAGAUGAAGAUUAAGUGAUUCCUUUAAUACGCAUCAACUCGAUUAAACUUCAUAGGAGCAAAAGCCUUUUGAAAUAAAUUAGCCAGAUACUUUCUGGAAACAAGAAGCAUUUGAGGCUAAAUUCUCCUAUGCCAUUACUUGCCCUCUUGUCAUUCCAAGGAAUGAACCUGAUAGAGAACAGGAGGGGCCAACUGACUUGUGUACAGAGCACACCCUAGCCUGUGUUCUGAGCAAGGUGUGAAGCACUGUGACUGUAGCACGUUGCUUAACAGCUCUGAAAUUAUUGUCAUCAAUGUGUGCAAAAAAGGAGAAUUUGACAAGUAGAAAAUUGUAAACUGGGGUUUCAAUCCUGAUUACAAACACUUUGAUCAGACCUUUUGAGGCAUUAUGGAGAUAUACAAUACUUUUGGACGUCAUUCAUAAGUCAUUUGAGUUUGGAAAUCCGAUUUGGUUCAUAGCCAGCUUCUCCUGCCUUCUCAGUAUGAAAGCUCAGGGAAGUUAUUGGACUUUGUGCGUCUUGGUUUCCUCGUAUGUAAAACUGAAACAAGAACACAGAAAGUGAUGCUUGAGAAGCCACAAGCUGUCAAAAAUUUUUGGGACUGCAGGGUAAUGCUGGCACGUGCCUUUAAUCUCAGCAGAAGCAAGUGGAUCUCUGUGCAUUUGAGGCCAGCCUGGUCCACAGAGGGAGUUCCAAGACAGCCAAGGGUACACAAGAGAACCCCAGACUUGAAAAACCAAACCAAACCAAACAAAAUCAUGGGACUAGAAGUCAAGAUUGUGUACACAGGAAACAGUUGCCAAAGGAAAUAUUUGAGAGUGUGGAAGUACUCAAGGCAAAUAUCCCAGGAAAUAAAGGUAGAGGCAUGAUGUAGUGUGGUAGCAAAGAGAGAGAAACCUGCAAAGUGUUUAUGAAUGGCUAUUUUGGCGAACAACUGAGACUCAAUCACAGUAGGUGCCUUCAAGAGAUGGUGGAGAACUCAGGAUGAUCACACUGGCGGGAGAGGAAGCUAGGGUUCUCCCUCUAGCUCUUCCCAUUGCUGACCCAGUGUGCUCCUAGUAUGAAUGCUUGACCCUUAGGAGCCUGGGUGGUCCACCGAAGUGAAUCCUUGGGGUGAAGAGACUUGUACAGAAAAGGAUGACAUUGGCAGAAGCUGCAGUGGUGAGUGCUGUGGAGAAGUGGCAACAAUCUGUUACGACUUGGAGGGUUUUAUUGAUGCGUGUACUCUGGCCACUGCCAAUUUAAGAGAACCAUUAAGGACCUCACGGGCUCAGGAUCAUUUGUGUCCAUAUGGCUCCUUACAGGCAGCUUCCACAUUUGACUGUAGCUUCAUUUGUGGACCCAGUUUUUUUUUUUUAUUAUAGAAAUCAUUUCUAAGCCCUAAACCAUGGUUGACCCUGGUGUGUGUGUGUGUGUGUGUGUGUGUGUGUGUGUGUGUUUGUGUGUGUGUUGCACAUGUGUAAGCAUACUUGUACAUGUGUUUGUUAAGAGGGGAUGGAUACACCCCUACAGCAGCAGUUGUGAUGACAGAUAAAAGCACAUUCAGUGUCACCACCACCCUCAACUAUGGGCUUCUCUUGACUCUUAGGUAAAGGUCCUUUGGCAUUGUGCUUUAAAGACAUCCUUCCCAACCAUUCCCUGUUUUCCAUUUUUUUAUUGGAUAUAUUUCUUUAUUUACAUUUCAAAUGUUAUUACCUUUCCCAGUUUCCUGUCCAUAAGCCCCCUAUCCCCACCCCUCCCCCAUAAGGCUCUUUCCCCCAUCUACCUCCCCUUACCACCCCCAUGACAUUUGCCUGCACUGGGGGUCCAACCUUGGCAGGACCAAGGGCUUCCCCUUCCACUGGUGCCCCAACAAGGCUCUUCUCCCUACCUAUGCAGUUGGAGCCCUGGUGGUUUAGUCCCUGGGAGCAUAUGAUGUACCUACAGCCUAUGCAAGCCUCUUCCUCAAAUCCUUCCUCUGUGACAAACAACACAGUUGGUGUAUUCUGAUGGCUUCAAGAGGAGGUCAAGGAAUAACUGUCUCCAAAGUACAGUGAUAAAUCUGGGACAGACAGACCUCAGUGUUCUCAUGCACUCAUGUAUGACAUCUAACACUAGGGACUGGAGCCAAGGACAAAAGAGAAGAAGAGAAAAGAAUGUAGACCUAGGGACAAGGAAUCAUUUUCCAUGCUGCAGCAUGUUUGGGUAUGGCAUUCAUUUGGAUUAGUACUCUGAUUUUCCAAGUCUCUAGAGUAAGCCUUGGCCUGUAGACAGUGCUUUUGGUACACAAACAGUCCCUGAAUGCAACCACUUUAUUCUGGAGGGAGUUGUAAAUUGGUGUAUGAGAAUAGGAUCUCCUAUGAAGUUUCUCCUCCUCUGGACAAAAGAACACAGCACUGGGUUGGUGGAUGCUAGUUGCAGGUAAAGUGGCAAUUCAUAAGAAUAAACAAGACAUGAACUACUACUACCCCAACUGCUAUCCAGGGUCUAUCUAUUCAUUUACUUAUUGUGGGGGAAUGUGCUAUGUGGUGGCUGCAGAGUGACAUAACUUUUGUUUUUAUCCAUUUAUUUAUUCAGUUUACAGCCUGAUAGCAGCCCUCCCUCCUCCCAGUCCCCCCCCCCACACAUAGCCUUUUCACUUCUCCUUCUCCUCUAUUCUAAUCGUGGUUAUGAAAACUUUUCAGAAUAAAAGAUUUUCAAAAAUUUCCUUGAGAGAGUUAUAGGAUUGCUGAGAAAAAAAUCACAUACUAUUACCAAUAUCACCAUUAAUCUGGUGUAUUAUUAGAUUAGUAAAAUCUAAUCACUGUGGGAAAUCCUUCAAGAAUACUAGCCAAGAAUCACUUCUGUGGUUUUUUAAUAAAAUCAAUCCAAUUAUGACCAAUCAAAGUCAUGUUGGCGAGAGAAUUGGAGUAAGAGUAAUGUAGAAGGAUGCCAGGUGUUGGAGCUCUAAUUUUUAGGAGGCGAAUGGUCUCCAAGAACCAUAUAGAUAAGAGCAGUAGAUAGAAAUGAGGGUCAAAGCAGGCGAAAGUCACUGUUUUAUCCAUAAACCCAGUCAACGUUUAUUAAAUACUUACUAUGUGUCAGAAAUAAUGUUACAAAGCAUUCACGGUGCACUUUUUGGUGGCAAUUUUAAUACUUACUUUAUUUUAUUAAAAAAAAAACCCUCUACUGCUCCCAUUCAACAAGGCUUAAGCAAUCAUCUUAACCUCUCACCUCCAUGGGUAGGGGCAUAGAAUCUCUUUUAAGCUAACUAAAGACUUAUAAUCUUGAGACCAAAACAACUGGUUAGAUUUGAGUACAUGAAGCAAGCCAGGUAAAUCAGGACCUGGAGUUGUUUAGCUUCAGAAUAAGAGGGUUUUUUUUUUCUCUUCUUGGCAGGAGUUCUGAGAUGAUUAAAGCUUGAUGUUCCUGAUAAACCACAUACAAAGUCAGGGAACACAGGAAAUCUGAGACUCAACCUCACUUGACAGAUCUUGGAGAUAAAGCUAGGCAACUGAGUGGAGUCAAACUUCAAUGGAAGGUAGAAUUGCCUACGACACAAACCAGUGUGCCAGUUUUGAUUUAUGCUAUAUUCUUAAAAACAAAACAAAAAAUACAAACACUUUUAACUGACAAAAAGGGAAAUAAUCACAAUAGUAUAGAGCAUCCCUCGCCCUAUGAUAGAGAGGGAAUUAUAAUAACAGUUCACUGUUCUGGGAAAAAGGAAUAAAAGCUGCUUCCGUAUCCUAUCAGGAGAGCUUGGGGGUUCUAAGGGCGUGACAACGAGCUGGGUAUUAGUAGAUAAUUGGGAAGUGAUUGAGCAGGAGAGAAAAGAGGUUCCGAUAAACUUUCUUGAGCUGGUUCUGGAAGACUCUGUGUGGGUUUGAUGAUUAAAGGAUAGGGAUCUUAACUGAGAAUAGAAAUCCUUUUCUUUAUCUAAAAGUUCAGACUUCCUGAAGAAAUGACUGGGCCUGGAUUUUCUCCGGGAGUUACGAAAACCUUGUUGACCUAGGUCAGUUUACUCAAAAGUGGAGCAAGCCCUUUCCCCUUGCUUUAUACAUGGUUGUCCUCAUCUGCCAGAGUUCCAGCACUGAGCAGUAGUUGAGCCAGGUAGUCCAGGGACUUAAGAUGCAGGGACAAGUUGAACAGGUCUUCUUAGGAACCCAUUGCAUUAUUUUCUUGCUCUAUUGAUAAUUCCAAUGAAACCUGUUCCAAGAAGGCAUCUAUUUAGCCUUUAACUCCGCACAGUGGUUUCUCUCAUAUUUACUUCCUAUGGGGAAAGCUUUCAUAAACCAGGGUUUGCUUCUAUUCUUUUAUAUAUGUGCAUUUCUUGCAGGCUGUGGAAGUGCCAUUUUCUUUCUGCAUUCGUCUUAUCGAGGGGCAUGCAUCCAAUGGCUCAGGGUUUGAGAAUUUUGCACAGGUCUCUAUUCGAUAAAUAAAGCCUAGGACACUUUCCAUAUGAGUCUAUUUCCCAAUUACAGAAAUAGUUCACAGAAGACUUUGCUAGGCAAUUGUGCUUGAAAAGCACAGCGACCUGGUUCACUUUGAAGAACCCCAGGUUCAUGAAACCAUGGUGUCAGAGUAUAGAGAAGUCUUUAAGAGAUCAUCUAGUCUCACGCUCCAGGAAAUAUGAGAGACCAAGGCUCAGGCUGGGAAAUGGAUCUGCUAGGUCAAUUAUGGAGAAUGAGGAAGAAAAACAUAGGCCCAGGGCUUUCAGGUGUUUGAAGCAUCUCCAGAUUCAUGAAACUCGGGCCAAAAUAUUUGUCAGCAAAUUUUAACUAUGAUGAUGCCCAAGGGGCACCUAUUCCACAGUUUGUUUUGAUGGGCUUAAGUGAAUACAGUGCACUACUUUCAUUAAUCCGUCCCAGAAUCUGCAUCUCUCUCCUAAACCCUUUUUUAUUUUCCAGUGUGACAAUCUCUAAUAGAGGACCAAAGUUAGUAGUUAGAUGCUGAUGGUGAUUACACAAGAAUGACAUCCAUCAUCUCCACCAGUACAUUAUAUUAAUAAAAGCUAAGAAUUUCCCAGAUUAGUGGUGUGUGUGUGUGUGUGUGUGUGUGUGUGUGUGUGUGUGUGCGUGCGCGUGCACAUGCAUGCACGUGAUGUGGGUACUUGACAGCACAGUAGCAUGAGCAUGUAGGUGAGUAUACUAUUCAACUUUUAGUCUCUAAAAGAAGCAAGAUCUUAUGCAGGUAAAUAGAAUCUUCCAUGAAGGCAUUCCCCAUAAGACAAGAACGGAAGUCCAUUCAAGAACAGGCCUAAGCCUGUCAGAUAAAAGGGUUGUUUCUGGUUACAACAAAAUGGAUGAAAAAUAAUCAUGAAGCCUGGACACUCUUGCCUCUGUAUGAUGUGUUUCUCCUAACUGAAAUGCCAUAAAGUUGUAGUACUGGAGUCUAUAAUGCUCUAAGGUCCAGAAACCAGCUACGGGACUAUAGUCCAACUGAUUUUCACACACUUGAGUUUGCAAGAUCAAUGAUAGAACAUUUCUAUUUCAUCUUCUCAGUAGAGUUGAAUUACUACAAAUAGGUCAUAUAGAGUAUGUUGUCCAACAUAAAGUAGCACUAUUGCAGAAUUUUAUGGGAGGACAAACAUCACAAAUGUUGAUUGGUGGUGGUGGUGGGGUUUAUGAGCCUGUCUUAGUAGGACCAUAUUAUUCUUGCCAUGCUUUCAGGACUAAAUAUAAGAAAUUUAAUGUGUAAAUAAUGCAGCCUAAGUUGCUAGAGUAGUUAUUUUACAUCUACCUUGGGUUCCCAGACUUAGUAUGUAUGUGAGGUCCUGUUACUUUUCAUGACUAAAAUGUAGCUCAGAAAACACAAGAGUUCAAAAUUAGAGUUUGAAUACCAGAGCACUGUUAUUAAUUAACCAGAUGACCUUGGACUAGUCCACUAAUCCUAGCAGUUCUUAACAGAAUUAUUCAGACCAUUCUAGGACAUCGCAAUCACUGAGGUGUGUCUCGAGUAAAUAGUUAAUGAUAGUCAAGGACUGAAGUUAGGAAGCAUUUUGAAAGAUAGACAUUGUAAGGGGAGGAGGCAUGGAGAGGAGAGGAGGCAGGUGGACAGGAACACCUGGGAGACAUGUUUGGGAAUGUCAAAACAAACCUCUUUGAUUUCUACAGCUAAUGUGUGUUAAUGAGUAUAAUAAAAAUAUAUAAAUUAUAAAAUUUAACUUUAUGCUAAAUAGGUGAUUCUUAUUUUUGUCUUGUAUUAUGAUAUGUUUUCCUAAGGAAGAAAGAACAUGUUAGGAAAGCCAUAGACAGAACAAUGAGGACUGAGAACAAACCGUUCAUUGUCUCUUAAACAGAAACGAGAGUCUGUGCAGUGAGCUUAAACCAUAUGCUAUAUAAGGCCAUUUGGUAUAAGCAAUAGUAUGUGAAAUGCCCCCUUUCUAUAUUAAAACCAUGAAAGUGAUGCUUUCUGGAAGAAAAAGUAAAAUUGGCAUGAAUUUUCACUAUAAUAUACUAAGUUCCAUUGGAUACUGUCUUAAAUCAGUAUUUCUCAACCUAUUGGUUACAAACUCUCAGGGGAUUAAAUGGCCCUUUCAUAGGACCACUCGGAAAACCCAGAUAUUUACAUUAGGAUUCAAAACAGUCACACAAUUACAGUUUUUAAGUAGCAACAAAAAUAUGGCUGGGGGUCACCACAACAUGAGGAACCAUUAAAGGGUUGCAACAUUAGGAAGGUUGACAAUCACUGUUCUAGAUCCAAGUAUCCAAGUUCCCAGGAUUAGAUGUUCUUUCAUCAGGCCAUGAGCUGGAAAAUAUUGUGAAACUCUUAAACUGUACUCAGCCAAAGAAGACAGUAAGUGCCCUAUCAACAUUAGUUAUGAUGAUGGUGGAUUUUUACAGUGCCCAUGAGUUGUGAUAGCAUAAAUGUUCCUACUUCCCUUUAACGUUCAUACACUAUUCCAUUUUUAAUAACAGCACUGUGAGGGAAGGCAAGAAAAAGGAGUUUUAUAUUGUGCAGAGUGAAAAUGGCUUUAGGUGCAUUUCUGUCUAUGAUGCACAGUUACUUCAAAAUUAAAAGGCAGGCAAGGUGAUAAAAUAAGUGAAAUUGUAAAAUGCUCUUCAGGUUCAUAAUGAGAUGUAAAUACUCUAUAAAUUCAGCCUUUCAUUAUUGUAAACAAUAAAAUCGGGUUGAUUUGUGUCUUCCUUCAA
Rattus norvegicus (Norway rat) is the source of this 8046-nucleotide non-coding RNA. NCBI's taxonomy places the organism in Eukaryota, Metazoa, Chordata, Mammalia, Rodentia, Muridae. The record is from RefSeq and is a predicted model, not a curated record.